AGUGAACGCUGGCGGUAGGCCUAACACAUGCAAGUCGAACGGCAGCACAGUAAGAGCUUGCUCUUACGGGUGGCGAGUGGCGGUCGGGUGAGGAAUACAUCGGAAUCUACUUUUUCGUGGGGGAUAACGUAGGGAAACUUACGCUAAUACCGCAUACGACCUACGGGUGAAAGCAGGGAAUCUUCGGACCUUGCGCGAUUGAAUGAGCCGAUGUCGGAUUAGCUAGUUGGCGGGGUAAAGGCCCACCAAGGCGACGAUCCGUAGCUGGUCUGAGAGGAUGAUCAGCCACACUGGAACUGAGACACGGUCCAGACUCCUACGGGAGGCAGCAGUGGGGAAUAUUGGACAAUGGGCGCAAGCCUGAUCCAGCCAUACCGCGUGGGUGAAGAAGGCCUUCGGGUUGUAAAGCCCUUUUGUUGGGAAAGAAAAGCAGCAGGUUAAUACCCCGCUGUUCUGACGGUACCCAAAGAAUAAGCACCGGCUAACUUCGUG
This 492-nucleotide ribosomal RNA is filed under the name uncultured bacterium. RNAcentral describes it as "partial 16S ribosomal RNA". It matches the Rfam family "Bacterial small subunit ribosomal RNA", at positions 29 to 507 of the family's 1533-position model. The record is from RNAcentral.